CAGUCGAACGGGAAUUACUUUAUUGAAACUUCGGUCGAUUUAAUUUAAUUCUAGUGGCGGACGGGUGGGUAACGCGUGGGUAACCUGCCUUAUACAGGGGGAUAACAGUCAGAAAUGGCUGCUAAUACCGCAUAAGCGCACAGAGCUGCAUGGCUCGGUGUGAAAAACUCCGGUGGUAUAAGAUGGACCCGCGUUGGAUUAGCUUGUUGGUGGGGUAACGGCCCACCAAGGCGACGAUUGGUAGCCGGACUGAGAGGUUGAAUGGCCACAUUGGGACUGAGACACGGCCCAGACUCCUACGGGAGGCAGCAGUGGGGGAUAUUGCACAAUGGGGGAAACCCUGAUGCAGCGACGCCGCGUGGAGGAAGAAGGUUUUCGGAUUGUAAACUCCUGUCGUUAGGGACGAUAAUGACGGUACCUAACAAGAAAGCACCGGCUAACUACGUGCCAGCAGCCGCGGUAAAACGUAGGGUGCAAGCGUUGUCCGGAAUUACUGGGUGUAAAGGGAGCGCAGGCGGGAAGACAAGUUGGAAGUGAAAACCAUGGGCUCAACCCAUGAAUUGCUUUCAAAACUGUUUUUCUUGAGUAGUGCAGAGGUAGAUGGAAUUCCCGGUGUAGCGGUGGAAUGCGUAGAUAUCGGGAGGAACACCAGU
This 653-nucleotide ribosomal RNA is filed under the name uncultured bacterium. RNAcentral describes it as "bacterial SSU rRNA". It matches the Rfam family "Bacterial small subunit ribosomal RNA", at positions 59 to 713 of the family's 1533-position model. The record is from RNAcentral.